Molecule: long non-coding RNA, 875 nt
Filed under: Rattus norvegicus (Norway rat)
Lineage: Eukaryota; Metazoa; Chordata; Mammalia; Rodentia; Muridae
Description: long non-coding RNA NONRATT032938
Source: RNAcentral
CAACAAGAACGAUGAGGAUAGCACCACAGACAGGAGCCUCCCUGGGCCAACCUUAUGGCAGUUCACAUUGCGUACAUGCUUUGGACUCAACCAAAUACCCAAAGCCACCCCUAGGCAGAUCCAACAGGCUCAUCAGGGCCCUUCUAUGUUACGACAGGAAGUGAUUCUGGUGGAGCCUGGGCCAUUCCAACUCCUCUUCCUCCUGCGCUCGUCCUCUCGGCACUCACUAUCUGACUGGUCUACCUCGAAGCCCCAGGCUCCACCUCUCCACGCCAGAGUGAUGGACAGUGUGCUCCGUGUAGAGAAGAUCAUCUGGUAACGGGCAGUCAUUGUUCCUUCACCCCCUUGGGGCGAAGGCCUUCUAGCUGAGUGCCUCUGUUGACCUCUCCCAUGAUGCCAUGCAGGUCACUAAGCUUUAAUAACCUAAAGCAUUGAGCAACAAUAAGGCGUUACCACACAUCUAACGGGUAAAGGGAGUUGGCGAUCCAGGAAGAAGGGCUGCCAUGGAAACAGCCUCUGCAUGAGGGAUGGCGCCUCUGCAUCGGGAUGUGGAAGAAGCCAUUGUCAUCACACAAGAGAGGAGGCAGAGUGAGGAGAGCAAUGGGCAUGAGAAUGACAACAAUGUUACAGAAGUCAAGAGAGACGAAAAACAACUCCAGAUUUAUGUUGCCCACAGAUCUUUUCUGCAAACACUGCCCUCAAAACAAAGUCGUAAAUGAAGGAGAGCACAAGAGGCUUCAAAGACAUCAAAAGAUGGCAGAGUAUGGUACAUGCUUACAAUGGCUCCCCCUGGGCUCCCAGGACAGGGUCCAGAUGCAGAAAGGCUGAGCAUGUCAACAGAAACUGUAGUUAAAGCCAUUUUUGAUACAAGAUAG